UGCUGGACCUCAAUAAGCCCCCGAGAAGUCUGCAUAACAGAUUUACCACUGCUUGAUUUGAUCGCUUGCUGUUCAGUAUCACCAACAAGUAAUUUGCGAUCCCACUGAUUUCAUUCAUUAAGUGCUACAGAGGGGGGGCAUUAAUCGGCAAGUGAUACAUCAAGGGACUGGAUUUUCCCCCAUCAACCUUCCUGCUGCUGAUUAGUCUCCAAGGGCGACUGGUGAUUCAUUAGUCAAACUGAGAUCAGCAGGAGGCAGCCAGUCCUGCAUAUUUCAGACAUUUCCCUGCACCAAAGCACCUGAUUCAAAUGAUGAUCAUCAAGCUCUGCUGAAGCCUCAGAACAACCCAGUUAUAUGAAUCAGGUGUGCCGGGGCAAGGAAACAGCUUCGGCUCCGUCCACAUGGUGAAGUGUUUAUGUCUGGACGGACAGAAACUGGAAACGAUGACAAGGCCACCCACGUUUAUCAGUGUAUACAGCAUCACUG
Acanthopagrus latus (yellowfin seabream) is the source of this 486-nucleotide long non-coding RNA. RefSeq lists it as uncharacterized. The transcript has 3 exons. NCBI's taxonomy places the organism in Eukaryota, Metazoa, Chordata, Actinopteri, Spariformes, Sparidae. The record is from RefSeq and is a predicted model, not a curated record.